GAGGGAUUAUGACUGAACGCCUCUAAGUCAGAUCCCAGCCUGGAUAGCGACGAUGCAUUCGUGCCUCGGCCUCGAGAGGCGUAGCUAGACGGCCGCGUGCCCGUGGAAAGAGCCCGAUUCCGACCCGAGAGGCCGCGGCAAGAGGCGGCCUCGAAGUCGGUGGAUCCUCCUGCUCGAAAGGCGGGGUGCUAAACCAUUCGCAGACGACCUAGUUGAAGAUCGGGGUGUCGUGAUCACUAGAGCAGUACAUCUCACUGCGAUUUGUUGAGAGUAAGCCUCAAGAUCUGUCGGUUUGU
Molecule: non-coding RNA, 296 nt
Organism: Ciona savignyi (Pacific transparent sea squirt)
Lineage: Eukaryota; Metazoa; Chordata; Ascidiacea; Phlebobranchia; Cionidae
Source: Rfam